AACCUCCGCAAUGUGAGAAAUCGCGACGGGGGGAUCCCAAGUGCCAUUCUUAACGGGAUGGCUUUUCAUUAGUGUAAAGAGCUUUUGGAAUAAGGGCUGGGCAAGACCGGUGCCAGCCGCCGCGGUAACACCGGCAGCUCUAGUGGUAGCAAUUUUUAUUGGGCCUAAAGCGUCCGUAGCCGGUUUAAUAAGUCUCUGGUGAAAUCCUGUAGCUUAACUGUGGGAAUUGCUGGAGAUACUAUUAGACUUGAGACCGGGAGUGGUUAGAGGUACUCCCAGGGUAGAGGUGAAAUUCUGUAAUCCUGGGAGGACCGCCUGUUGCGAAGGCGUCUAACUGGAACGGUUCUGACGGUGAGGGACGAAAGUUAGGGGCGCGAACCGGAUUAGAUACCCGGGUAGUCCUAACUGUAAACGAUGCGGACUUGGUGUUGGGGUGGCUUUGAGCUGCUUCAGUGCCGAAGGGAAGCUGUUAAGUCCGCCGCCUGGGAAGUACGGUCGCAAGACUGAAACUUAAAGGAAUU
RNAcentral lists this ribosomal RNA (521 nucleotides) under uncultured bacterium. RNAcentral's name for it is "bacterial SSU rRNA". It matches the Rfam family "Archaeal small subunit ribosomal RNA", at positions 345 to 866 of the family's 1478-position model. The record is from RNAcentral.